RNAcentral lists this ribosomal RNA (520 nucleotides) under uncultured bacterium. Its description in RNAcentral is "bacterial SSU rRNA". It matches the Rfam family "Bacterial small subunit ribosomal RNA", at positions 120 to 674 of the family's 1533-position model. The record is from RNAcentral.
GGGAAUGUGCUCUUGGGUGGGGAAUAACGCAGGGAAACUUGCGCUAAUACCGCAUAAUGUCUUCGGACCAAAGAUUUAUCGCCCAAGAAUCAGCCCGCGGCGGAUUAGCUAGUUGGUGGGGUAAAGGCCUACCAAGGCGACGAUCCGUAGCUGGUCUUAGAGGAUGAUCAGCCACACUGGGACUGAGACACGGCCCAGACUCCUACGGGAGGCAGCAGUGGGGAAUAUUGGGCAAUGGGCGAAAGCCUGACCCAGCCAUGCCGCGUGAGUGAUGAAGGCCUUAGGGUUGUAAAGCUCUUUCAGUAGGGACGAUGAUGACGGUACCUACAGAAGAAGCCCCGGCUAACUUCGUGCCAGCAGCCGCGGUAAUACGAAGGGGGCAAGCGUUGUUCGGAUUUACUGGGCGUAAAGGGAGUGUAGGCGGCUCUACAAGUCAGACGUGAAAGCCCGGGGCUCAACCCCGGAAUUGCGUUUGAGACUGUAGGGCUUGAGUGUCUGAGGGGUAAGCGGAAUUUCCAGU